This 550-nucleotide small RNA is filed under the name Botryosphaeria dothidea. Its description in RNAcentral is "eukaryotic LSU rRNA". The stretch from base 176 to 329 matches the Rfam family "5.8S ribosomal RNA". Lineage: Eukaryota; Fungi; Ascomycota; Dothideomycetes; Botryosphaeriales; Botryosphaeriaceae. The record is from RNAcentral.
GACGACUGAUGGGCUCGGCCGAUCCUCCCACCCUUUGUGUACCUACCUCUGUUGCUUUGGCGGGCCGCGGUUCUCCGCGGCCGCCCCCCUCCCCGGGGGGUGGCCAGCGCCCGCCAGAGGACCAUCAAACUCCAGUCAGUAAACGAUGCAGUCUGAAAAACAUUUAAUAAACUAAAACUUUCAACAACGGAUCUCUUGGUUCUGGCAUCGAUGAAGAACGCAGCGAAAUGCGAUAAGUAAUGUGAAUUGCAGAAUUCAGUGAAUCAUCGAAUCUUUGAACGCACAUUGCGCCCUUUGGUAUUCCGAAGGGCAUGCCUGUUCGAGCGUCAUUACAACCCUCAAGCUCUGCUUGGUAUUGGGCACCGUCCUUUGCGGGCGCGCCUCAAAGACCUCGGCGGUGGCGUCUUGCCUCAAGCGUAGUAGAACAUACAUCUCGCUUCGGAGCGCAGGGCGUCGCCCGCCGGACGAACCUUCUGAACUUUUCUCAAGGUUGACCUCGGAUCAGGUAGGGAUACCCGCUGAACUUAAGCAUAUCAAUAAGCGGAGGAAA